Molecule: ribosomal RNA, 274 nt
Filed under: uncultured bacterium
Lineage: Bacteria
Description: partial 16S ribosomal RNA
Rfam family: Bacterial small subunit ribosomal RNA
Source: RNAcentral
AUACGGAGGGUGCAAGCGUUACUCGGAAUCACUGGGCGUAAAGCGCGCGCAGGCGGCCAUUUAAGUUGGAUGUGAAAGCCUACGGCUCAACCGUAGAACUGCAUCCAAAACUAUUUGGCUAGAGUGUGGGAGAGGAAGAUGGAAUUAGUUGUGUAGGGGUAAAAUCCGUAGAGAUAACUAGGAAUACCAAAAGCGAAGGCAAUCUUCUGGAACACUACUGACGCUGAGGCGCGAAAGCGUGGGGAGCAAACGGGAUUAGAAACCCGAGUAGUCC